Molecule: ribosomal RNA, 510 nt
Filed under: Triticum aestivum (bread wheat)
Lineage: Eukaryota; Viridiplantae; Streptophyta; Magnoliopsida; Poales; Poaceae
Description: partial small subunit ribosomal RNA
Source: RNAcentral
AUGGAUGGAAUCUUGCAAAUUGAGUUGGCGCUGGUACCGGUCAAGUCCAGACUUGCAUAUGCACGCGCGGCACUGUGCAAAGAUACUGUGAUGGACGUGUACGUGAUCGGCGAGUGGGCAUCGUCGCAUCGGCAUCAGCAUCUGGCGUCGCCGCCACUGGGCCACGGCGGCGCACCGGCGGCGAAGGUCGGACAAGUCCAGUGUGUUGGUCGUCGGGGCGGAUCGGCGUUAAUGGGGACGGGCGGACGGACGGACGCGAGCUGGCGGGCUAGAGCCGGUCGGUCGCCGUGGUGCUGGUCGCGUCAGGGUGACGCGGCGCGGGGCCCGGCGGAGGUUGGCGAGCUAGGCGAGGGGGCGUGUCAUUCCUGGGGAGAGAGGACGAAGGGGGACAUAGUCGGUGCGGCUUUUUCUACGCGGCGGGGCCACCCGCACCAUGCGACGGCUACGGCGCUGUCACAGUCGUGGGUUUUGUCUGUCGUCCCGGGUGGACAAAUUCACCGUUUCUUCUAA